GACGAACGCUGGCGGCGUGCCUAAUACAUGCAAGUAGAACGCACAGAAUGCACCGUAGUUUACUACACCGUAUUCUGUGAGUUGCGAACGGGUGAGUAACGCGUAGGUAACCUGCCUGGUAGCGGGGGAUAACUAUUGGAAACGAUAGCUAAUACCGCAUAAGAACAUUUACUGCAUGGUAGAUGUUUAAAAGGUGCAAAUGCAUCACUACCAGAUGGACCUGCGUUGUAUUAGCUAGUAGGUGAGGUAACGGCUCACCUAGGCGACGAUACAUAGCCGACCUGAGAGGGUGAUCGGCCACACUGGGACUGAGACACGGCCCAGACUCCUACGGGAGGCAGCAGUAGGGAAUCUUCGGCAAUGGGGGGAACCCUGACCGAGCAACGCCGCGUGAGUGAAGAAGGUUUUCGGAUCGUAAAGCUCUGUUGUUAAGGAAGAACGAGUGUGAGAAUGGAAAGUUCAUACUGUGACG
Molecule: ribosomal RNA, 472 nt
Filed under: Streptococcus intermedius
Lineage: Bacteria; Bacillati; Bacillota; Bacilli; Lactobacillales; Streptococcaceae
Description: bacterial SSU rRNA
Rfam family: Bacterial small subunit ribosomal RNA
Source: RNAcentral